This 75-nucleotide transfer RNA is filed under the name Caldimicrobium thiodismutans. RNAcentral's name for it is "tRNA-Val". It matches the Rfam family "tRNA". From Rfam's summary of the family: Transfer RNA (tRNA) molecules are approximately 80 nucleotides in length. Their secondary structure includes four short double-helical elements and three loops (D, anti-codon, and T loops). Lineage: Bacteria; Pseudomonadati; Thermodesulfobacteriota; Thermodesulfobacteria; Thermodesulfobacteriales; Thermodesulfobacteriaceae. The record is from RNAcentral. RNAcentral also lists the same sequence under 3 other names.
GGGCGGGUAGCUCAGCGGGAGAGCAUCGGCCUUACAAGCCGGGGGUCACAGGUUCAAAUCCUGUUCCGCCUACCA